This 449-nucleotide ribosomal RNA is filed under the name uncultured bacterium. RNAcentral's name for it is "partial 16S ribosomal RNA". It matches the Rfam family "Bacterial small subunit ribosomal RNA", at positions 29 to 523 of the family's 1533-position model. The record is from RNAcentral.
AACGAACGCUGGCGGCAUGCCUAACACAUGCAAGUCGAACGAGAUCUUCGGGUCUAGUGGCGCACGGGUGCGUAACGCGUGGGAAUCUGCCCUUUGGUUCGGAAUAACAGUUGGAAACGACUGCUAAUACCGGAUGAUGACGAAAGUCCAAAGAUUUAUCGCCAGAGGAUGAGCCCGCGCAGGAUUAGCUAGUUGGUGUGGUAAAGGCGCACCAAGGCGACGAUCCUUAGCUGGUCUGAGAGGAUGAUCAGCCACACUGGGACUGAGACACGGCACAGACUCGUACGGGAGGCAGCAGUGGGGAAUAUUGGACAAUGGGCGAAAGCCUGAUCCAGCAAUGCCGCGUGAGUGAUGAAGGCCUUAGGGUUGUAAAGCUCUUUUACCCGGGAUGAUAAUGACAGUACCGGGAGAAUAAGCUCCGGCUAACUCCGUGCCAGCCGCCGCAGUAA